Molecule: ribosomal RNA, 430 nt
Filed under: uncultured Desulfococcus sp.
Lineage: Bacteria; Pseudomonadati; Thermodesulfobacteriota; Desulfobacteria; Desulfobacterales; Desulfococcaceae
Description: bacterial SSU rRNA
Rfam family: Bacterial small subunit ribosomal RNA
Source: RNAcentral
UGAGGAAUUUUGCGCAAUGGGGGAAACCCUGACGCAGCAACGCCGCGUGAGUGAUGAAGGCUUUCGGGUCGUAAAGCUCUGUCAAGUGGGAAGAACCUGCUCCAUGCUAAUAUCAUGGUGCAUUGACGGUACCACUGAAGGAAGCACCGGCUAACUCCGUGCCAGCAGCCGCGGUAAUACGGGGGGUGCUAGCGUUAUUCGGAAUCAUUGGGCGUAAAGGGCGCGUAGGCGGUCUCUUAUGUCAGAUGUGAAAGCCCUCGGCUUAACCGAGGAAGUGCAUUUGAAACUGAGAGACUUGAGUAUGGGAGAGGGAAGCGGAAUUCCUGGUGUAGCGGUGAAAUGCGUAGAUAUCAGGAGGAACACCGGUGGCGAAGGCGGCUUCCUGGACCAAUACUGACGCUGAGGCGCGAAGGCGUGGGGAGCAAACAGG